Molecule: long non-coding RNA, 787 nt
Organism: Oncorhynchus tshawytscha (Chinook salmon)
Lineage: Eukaryota; Metazoa; Chordata; Actinopteri; Salmoniformes; Salmonidae
Source: Ensembl
UACUGUUCCCACUAUGGUACUGUUCCCACCAGGUUACUGUUCCCACUAUGGUACUGUUCCCACCAGAUUACUGUUCCCACUAUGUUACUGUUCCCACUAUGUUACUGUUCCCACUAUGGUACUGUUCCCACCAGGUUACUGUUCCCACUAUGUUACUGUUCUCACCAGGUUACUGUUCCCACUAUGGUACUGUUCCCACCAGGUUACUGUUCCCACCAGGUUACUGUUCCCACUAUGGUACUGUUCCCACCAGGUUACUGUUCCCACCAGGUUACUGUUCCCACUAUGUUACUGUUCCCACCAGGUUACUGUUCCCACUAUGUUACUGUUCUCACCAGGUUACUGUUCCUACUAUGUUACUGUUCCCACUAUGUUACUGUUCUCACCAGAUUACUGUUCCCACUAUGUUACUGUUCCCACCAGGUUACUGUUCCCACUAUGUUACUGUUCUCACCAGAUUACUGUUCCCACUAUAUUACUGUUCCCACCAGGUUACUGUUCCCACUAUGUUACUGUUCCCACCAGGUUACUGUUCCCACCAGGUUACUGUUCCCACUAUGUUACUGUUCCCACUAUGUUACUGUUCCCACUAUGUUACUGUUCCCACUAUGUUACUGUUCCCACUAUGUUACUGUUCCCACUAUGUUACUGUUCCCACCAUGUUACUGUUCCCACUAUGUUACUGUUCCCACUAUGUUACUGUUCCCACUAUGUUACUGUUCCCACCAUGUUACUGUUCCCACUAUGUUACUGUUCCCACUAUGUUACUGUUCCCACCAUGUUACUG